GCGGGAGUGGUGGAAUUGGUAGACACGCUGGAUUUAGGUUCCAGUGUCGCAAGACGUGAGAGUUCGAGUCUCUCCUUCCGCACCA
RNAcentral lists this transfer RNA (85 nucleotides) under Candidatus Pseudothioglobus singularis PS1. Its description in RNAcentral is "Candidatus Thioglobus singularis PS1 tRNA-Leu". It matches the Rfam family "tRNA". Rfam says of the family: Transfer RNA (tRNA) molecules are approximately 80 nucleotides in length. RNAcentral also lists the same sequence under 14 other names. The record is from RNAcentral. Lineage: Bacteria; Pseudomonadati; Pseudomonadota; Gammaproteobacteria; Pseudothioglobaceae (SeqCode).